ACAAGCCCUGGAAACGGGGUCUAAUACCGGAUGGGACUGCCGGCCGCAUGGUCUGGUGGUGGAAAGCUCCGGCGGUACAGGAUGAGCUCGCGGCCUAUCAGCUUGUUGGUGGGGUGAUGGCCUACCAAGGCGACGACGGGUAGCCGGCCUGAGAGGGCGACCGGCCACACUGGGACUGAGACACGGCCCAGACUCCUACGGGAGGCAGCAGUGGGGAAUAUUGCACAAUGGGCGAAAGCCUGAUGCAGCGACGCCGCGUGAGGGAUGACGGCCUUCGGGUUGUAAACCUCUUUCAGCAGGGAAGAAGCCUUUAAAAGUGACGGUACCUGCAGAAGAAGCACCGGCUAACUACGUGCCAGCAGCCGCGGUAAUACGUAGGGUGCAAGCGUUGUCCGGAAUUAUUGGGCGUAAAGAGCUCGUAGGCGGCUUGUCGCGUCGGAUGUGAAAGCCCGGGGCUUAACCCCGGGUUUGCAUACGAUACGGGCAGGCUAGAGUUCGGUAGGGGAGAUCGGAAUUCCUGGUG
RNAcentral lists this ribosomal RNA (523 nucleotides) under uncultured Streptomyces sp. RNAcentral's name for it is "bacterial SSU rRNA". It matches the Rfam family "Bacterial small subunit ribosomal RNA", at positions 143 to 675 of the family's 1533-position model. Lineage: Bacteria; Bacillati; Actinomycetota; Actinomycetes; Kitasatosporales; Streptomycetaceae. The record is from RNAcentral.